Molecule: ribosomal RNA, 52 nt
Filed under: Vibrio chagasii
Lineage: Bacteria; Pseudomonadati; Pseudomonadota; Gammaproteobacteria; Vibrionales; Vibrionaceae
Description: partial 23S ribosomal RNA
Source: RNAcentral
UAACCUGUACGAAUUGCCCGUGAGGCUUAACCAUACAACACCCAAGGGGUUU